GAUGAAGAACGUAGCGAAAUGCGAUAAGUAAUGUGAAUUGCAGAAUUCAGUGAAUCAUCGAAUCUUUGAACGCACAUUGCGCCCCUUGGUAUUCCGAGGGGCAUGCCUGUUCGAGCGUCAUUAUAACCCCUCAAGCUUAGCUUGGUGUUGGGGCCUGCUGUAAUAGAGCAGCCCUUAAAAUCAGUGGCGGUGCCAUUAGGCUCUAAGCGUAGUAAUUCUUCUCGCUAUAGGGUUCUGGUGGAUGCUUGCCAUUAACCUCUAAUUUUCUAUGGUUGACCUCGGAUCAGGUAGGGAUACCCGCUGAACUUAAGCAUAUCAAUAAGCGGAGG
This 329-nucleotide unclassified non-coding RNA is filed under the name soil metagenome. RNAcentral describes it as "partial contains 5.8S ribosomal RNA, internal transcribed spacer 2, and large subunit ribosomal RNA". The stretch from base 1 to 120 matches the Rfam family "5.8S ribosomal RNA", at positions 35 to 154 of the family's 154-position model. The record is from RNAcentral.